RNAcentral lists this ribosomal RNA (492 nucleotides) under uncultured bacterium. RNAcentral describes it as "partial 16S ribosomal RNA". It matches the Rfam family "Bacterial small subunit ribosomal RNA", at positions 29 to 507 of the family's 1533-position model. The record is from RNAcentral.
AGUGAACGCUGGCGGUAGGCCUAACACAUGCAAGUCGAACGGCAGCUCAGUAAGAGCUUGCUCUUACGGGUGGCGAGUGGCGGACGGGUGAGGAAUACAUCGGAAUCUACUUUUUCGUGGGGGAUAACGUAGGGAAACUUACGCUAAUACCGCAUACGACCUACGGGUGAAAGCAGGGGAUCUUCGGACCUUGCGCGAUUGAAUGAGCCGAUGUCGGAUUAGCUAGUUGGCGGGGUAAAGGCCCACCAAGGCGACGAUCCGUAGCUGGUCUGAGAGGAUGAUCAGCCACACUGGAACUGAGACACGGUCCAGACUCCUACGGGAGGCAGCAGUGGGGAAUAUUGGACAAUGGGCGCAAGCCUGAUCCAGCCAUACCGCGUGGGUGAAGAAGGCCUUCGGGUUGUAAAGCCCUUUUGUUGGGAAAGAGAAGCAGCAGGUUAAUACCCCGCUGUUCUGACGGUACCCAAAGAAUAAGCACCGGCUAACUUCGUG